Non-coding RNA from Pelobates cultripes (western spadefoot toad), 204 nucleotides. The record is from the annotation of a GenBank genome assembly. NCBI's taxonomy places the organism in Eukaryota, Metazoa, Chordata, Amphibia, Anura, Pelobatidae.
CAUGUGGUUAGGCCGGAUGAGCAAGUCUAGACUCUGUUCAUUGAUUGGUUAAGGGUAUGUGUGAGUGUAGCUAUUUAUGGGAGGAGCUAUAGUGCAAAAUAAGCAAUGUACUCCAUGUGUUCGGGCUCAGAUCUGUUGUGGAACGUUAGUCCAUCUGAGACCUGAUGGGUACGUGAAUAAAGGCCUCUUACUUCCUAAAUGCCU